This 495-nucleotide ribosomal RNA is filed under the name uncultured bacterium. Its description in RNAcentral is "partial 16S ribosomal RNA". It matches the Rfam family "Bacterial small subunit ribosomal RNA", at positions 29 to 506 of the family's 1533-position model. The record is from RNAcentral.
AUGAACGCUGGCGGCGUGCCUAAUCCCUGCAAGUCGCGCGAACAGACGAGGAGCUUGCUCCUCUGACGUUAGCGGCGGACGGGUGAGUAACACGUGGAUAACCUACCUAUAAGACUGGGAUAACUUCGGGAAACCGGAGCUAAUACCGGAUAAUAUAUUGAACCGCAUGGUUCAAUAGUGAAAGACGGUUUUGCUGUCACUUAUAGAUGGAUCCGCGCCGCAUUAGCUAGUUGGUAAGGUAACGGCUUACCAAGGCGACGAUGCGUAGCCGACCUGAGAGGGUGAUCGGCCACACUGGAACUGAGACACGGUCCAGACUCCUACGGGAGGCAGCAGUAGGGAAUCUUCCGCAAUGGGCGAAAGCCUGACGGAGCAACGCCGCGUGAGUGAUGAAGGUCUUCGGAUCGUAAAACUCUGUUAUUAGGGAAGAACAAAUGUGUAAGUAACUAUGCACGUCUUGACGGUACCUAAGCAGAAAACCACGGCUAACUACGU